UGCCUUUAAGUGUUGCCCUUUCACUGCUUCCUUAGUGAUUGGGGUGUCAAAGAGGGCAUACAAUGAUACUUGUGGUUGUUUGUUGAAUGAGCCUCACGUAACUCCUUUAUACAAACGGCUGCAAGGACAGUC
Molecule: small nucleolar RNA, 132 nt
Filed under: Echeneis naucrates (live sharksucker)
Lineage: Eukaryota; Metazoa; Chordata; Actinopteri; Carangiformes; Echeneidae
Description: Small nucleolar RNA SNORA13 (ENSENLG00000015370.1)
Rfam family: Small nucleolar RNA SNORA13
About the family: ACA13 is a member of the H/ACA class of snoRNA that guide the sites of modification of uridines to pseudouridines.
Source: Rfam by way of RNAcentral